AGCACUGCAUAAACGUCUAAUCUC
This 24-nucleotide non-coding RNA is filed under the name Arabidopsis thaliana (thale cress). Lineage: Eukaryota; Viridiplantae; Streptophyta; Magnoliopsida; Brassicales; Brassicaceae. The record is from RNAcentral.